Molecule: long non-coding RNA, 2403 nt
Organism: Rosa rugosa (rugosa rose)
Lineage: Eukaryota; Viridiplantae; Streptophyta; Magnoliopsida; Rosales; Rosaceae
Exons: 4
Source: RefSeq, a predicted model, not a curated record
UUUUUCUCCUCUCUCCCUCUCUCGGCCGCACGACCCCUUCUCUCUCUUGCACGUCGUUCUUCUGCUAGCGCCGGAAAAUGCUAGUUUCCGGCCACCACCUCUCGUCACCGCCACCACCAAUCGGUCUGACAGCUAGUUUCGACGCAAGCCCAGGCCAAAUCAACGAGUUCUACCGAGCCUAGCCACCUUGCACAGCAACCACAGUCCCCGCGAUUUUGUCUCCUUCAAUUCCGGCGACUCCCUCAGCUCACCGCUGCCGCCAACGUGUUUGGAUCAAGCCAAGCCACAAAACCCAAAUGUUUCUCCUCCAAUCGACGCCGGAAAGCUGCCAUAUGCAUCACUGCCGGUGACUCCGAAUCUGCUUGUCCUCGUUCUCCAAUCUCCAGCCCAAAUUGAGCUGCACAACCACCAAAGUUGGAAUCAGAGCCUCCUCAUUCUUCAAAACCCUUUGGUCCCGACCUUUGCUUCGGCCAGAACCGUUGCACGCGCUGCCGCUGCCGUGUGGACCACCGUGGCUCCGCCACCGGAAUUCCAGGCCACCUUUAUUAGUUUUUGAUUAUGAGUUAUGAAGUUUUUGGAGAAAGGAAUGGGCAUUGGUUCAGUUUGAUGUAUAAUGAAGGAAGGAAGGAGUUCGAAUGGUUGUUGGUGGUGGAGGACUACACUUAUUUAGAAUUGGCCCUCUGUUUGAAGAUGAAGAAUUGGAAGUGACGAAUUGAUUACCAUUGUGGAAAUGUCUUACUAGAAGUGGUAAGUAGUUUGGCCAAAUAAUUAAGGUAUUGGUGAAUAUUGAAUGGAUCGGUUUCGACGAGUUUGGCAAGUAACUGAAUGUUGAAAUUGAUGUUAAGAGGAAAUUGUUGUGAGAAUGACACAUUUUAUUUGAGCAAGUUAAAUCGAUUGUUCGAUGAAGAUUAAUGAAACGAGUUGCCAAUUGGAAUAUUCUAAUACUACCAUAUCCGGGAAUUUCCGUAAGGACAUAAUCAUUUGGAAAUGGUGAUCAUGAAUUUUACAUUUAAGGUUUAAAGGCUAAGUAAAAAGGUCGAAUGGUUAACCUGAAUUAUAACUUGAAAAUAGUGUAAUUACCAUAUUCCAAAUGAGUUUACUUUGUUAAGUGGAUUAUUCGGAAAUGGUUACCCGUAAUUAUCAAUUUGGAGUAAAUUGGUGAAUUUAACACGUUUUGGUUACUUAAGGAAGUUGUCAUUAUUAUUAAGUUACUAAUUGGGCUUAAUUAUUUUGUUAAGGAAUUGAGCGUGACUACUUGAGAUAGAAUAAAAGCUCAAUAUCGAAAAUGACUUAACGGAGGAAUUUCCAAGCUCUUGACUUGGGAUGGAUAAGUUGACGGUUAUUGCAUUUGAAUCACUUUUGCAGGCGAAAUUAGAUGAGGUCGGGCGUACAUGGAGUCGAGGCAUAGCCAACAGCAUUGCUUCCGCGUACUCAUUCUAUUUCUGUUUUCUUUGUUACCUAGUGGAUUAGUAUUGCUCUGAUAACCUAUGGGAUUAAUAUUGUUUUUGGGUUGAGACUAUUAUUUGUGAAAUUGGAGUUGUGAUUUGGGGAGCAGAUGGCUCCAGGAGAUUAUGAUGGAUGAUUUAGAAGUGUAAAUGUUUUCCUACAGGUUUUGGGUAGCCUACUUUUAGGGAAAGUUCCGCCAAAUUUUUGGUAGAAUUUCUUCUAAAGUGGGCCCCGCAGGGCCACUUCGGAUUUCGGGGUGAAAUCCGGGGCGGGUCCUGUUAAUAAAACUCUUCUUGCAUGCAUGUUGUCAACGUCAAAUUCAAACUUGGAGUCAUUCAAAAUUUCAAAAGGGUAUUGAUUUAUCUAGAUCAUGGUCAGCCCACCUCUUGGAAAUAAUAUUCAAAUUCAAGGUGAGAAGUAUGGUGGCUUAGAACUCAUCCACGUUGCAAUGAUAAGGAGAUAAGAAGCUAUCUAGCUCAACUUCAAGAUAGACGGUUGCUCAAGAUUGGAGAUUUAAAAUUUGAACAAUUUAAAUUCAAAGUUGAAGAUAUGGCUUAUCCCAACUGAUCUUGAUUGCCUAUAUAUAAAGCGCCUUCACAUACAACGGAAAGGGGGCGGAGGCAACAAACAAGGCACACCAAAAGAGAUCGAGGAGAGAAAGACCGGAGGUAGAGAAAAAAAUAGGCGAAAGCUCUGCAGCAUUGAGGCACCCAAGAAAGAGGAGAGCAGAAAGGAGAGAGUUCACUCAAGACCGGAGUCCUACAACAUUCCAUCCUUAAAGCUUUCCAAGAGAAGCCACAUACGGAGAACCACGCUUCAGUAGAAGAAGAUCCAUAAGUCACAGGUAUAUAAUUAUGAUUAUCACAUGAAAUUACUGAACUUUUCCUUUCAUGGUGCAGACGUUGUCAAGUGCUAAGACAACCAAUCCAUGAAGCAUGGCCAAAAAUCUCUACUAAG